CAGCCCUAAACGAUGCGCGUUAGGUGUAUCGGUGACCACGAGUCACCGAGGUGCCGAAGGGAAACCGUGAAACGUGCCGCCUGGGAAGUACGGUCGCAGGGCUGAAACUUAAAGGAAUUGGCGGGGGAGCACCACAACAGGUGGAGCCUGCGGUUUAAUUGGAUUCAACGCCGGACAUCUCACCGGAUAAGACAGCUGAAUGAUUGUCAAUCUGAAGGUUUUACAUGACUAGCUGAGAGGUGGUGCAUGGCGUAGACGUCU
Molecule: ribosomal RNA, 261 nt
Filed under: uncultured archaeon
Lineage: Archaea
Description: partial 16S ribosomal RNA
Rfam family: Archaeal small subunit ribosomal RNA
Source: RNAcentral